ACAACUGUGAUUCCCUUAGUAAUGGCGAAUGAAACGGGAAGAGCCCAUCGUCGAAUCGCAAGUCAUUCAGGCUUUGUGAAAUGUGACGUUUGGGAGGGUCUUCCACAGCUCGGACGAUCAGUCAAAGUCCAACUUGACAGUGGCCACAGUCCAUAGAGGGUGAUAGGCCCGUAAGGCGGUUGUCCGGCUGUGCUGACCUCUCUCUAGAGUCGGAUUGCUUGGGAGUGCAGUCCAAAGUGCGAGGUAAACUCCUCGUAAGGCUAAAUAUAACCCCGAGACCGAUAGCAAACAAGUACAGUGAUGGAAAAUUGAAAAGAACUUUGAAGAGAGAGUUAAGAGUACGUGAAACUGUGUGGUGGUAAACGGAGGCGUUCUCGAAGUGUCCGUGGGGGACUCAAGCUUGGUGGCGGGCAGCCUGCGGGUGGUGAUCAGCAAUGACUCCGCCCGUUGUGUCGGCUUGCCUCCCGGCCGCACUUUCCCCGCGGUUGACGGCAGGAACUGUUGGGACUGGACCUAAGGCUCGGGAUGAAGUUGCCGGCCCUCACGGGCUUGUAGCUCCCGGUGUCCUGGCUUCGGGCCCGACAGGUUACGAGCGGACUUGUAUAGCAAGCGACAGCCUGUUGCGGUUCGCCUCUCUCUGCCGAGUAGGUCGGUGGCGCCUCCGACCCGUCUUGAAACACGGACCAAGGAGUCUAACAUGUAUGCGAGUCAUUGGGUUGACUAAACCUAGCGGCGCAGUGAAAGCAAAGAGUUGCUUGCAGCUCGAGGGACGACGUGCAAACCGCAGUCCCGCGAUUUCCAAUCAACCUCGCAUUGUUGGGAAUACGCAGAGCAUAGAUGUUGGGACCCGAAAGAUGGUGAACUAUGCCUGGCCAGGUUGAAGUCAGGGGAAACCCUGAUGGAGGACCGUAGCGAUUCUGACGUGCAAAUCGAUCGUCGGAGCUGGGUAUAGGGGCGAAAGACUAAUCGAACCAUCUAG
RNAcentral lists this ribosomal RNA (979 nucleotides) under Sinodiaptomus sarsi. Its description in RNAcentral is "partial 28S ribosomal RNA". It matches the Rfam family "Eukaryotic large subunit ribosomal RNA", at positions 65 to 947 of the family's 3401-position model. The record is from RNAcentral. Lineage: Eukaryota; Metazoa; Arthropoda; Copepoda; Calanoida; Diaptomidae.